CUAACUGCAGCAUAAUUGUACCCAGAAAGCUCCAACACCUGGCAAUUGUAGCUGCUGCAGAAGCAGCAUCAGACACAGAACCAUCGAUAAGACAAAGAUAAGCAUGCAUGGGAAUUUCAAAGAUGACAAAAAACAAGAUGUGCAUUUCAAAACAAACUGUGAAAAAUAGACUACACCUCCUACUCAGAGCUGCACCAAACGUGAUAAAAAAGGAAAAAAAACAGAUAUUCUUGCAAGAAGAACACAGCUGUUCAAGGCUCAGAGAAGUGAAUAGAGUCAUACUAAAGAUAAUCUACAAACAAUGGGGAGAGGAAGAAAGGGCAAGUGUACUUUAGUAAGAAAAGAUUGUCAUUGCGGUUUCAAAAUUUUCCUUCAGAAGAAUGUAUUUUAUAACAGAAUACAUGCGUGCACACACAGACAUACACACUUAGCAGAGUAAGAAAAUACAUAAUGAAGGGGA
Molecule: non-coding RNA, 460 nt
Organism: Pelodiscus sinensis (Chinese soft-shelled turtle)
Lineage: Eukaryota; Metazoa; Chordata; Testudines; Trionychidae
Source: RefSeq, a predicted model, not a curated record